UCUGUUUUUUUAUGUGCUGAGCAUGAUGGGAAAUAGAGGUAACGCAUGGGAAUUUUGAGUCAUAAACAAAGAUUCAUAUUAUGUUUUUGAAGUUGUAUUAUAAGUUGCAGUUUUAUUUUCUUGUUGUUUUGGGAUGCUAGAAUUGUAUUUAGCAUCUUUAGAAGCAGAUAAGCGUAUUCCCAAAAAAGAGAUCUUCUGUUCUAAGUGGAAAACAGGGAUAACACUUCACGCUCACCAGAUGAGGCAAUGUUGUCGAAAUAAAUCAUAAACCAUUAUGACAA
Long non-coding RNA from Penaeus indicus, 281 nucleotides. RefSeq lists it as uncharacterized. The transcript is spliced from 2 exons. Lineage: Eukaryota; Metazoa; Arthropoda; Malacostraca; Decapoda; Penaeidae. The record is from RefSeq and is a predicted model, not a curated record.